RNAcentral lists this long non-coding RNA (5843 nucleotides) under Homo sapiens (human). RNAcentral describes it as "HSALNT0196536". Lineage: Eukaryota; Metazoa; Chordata; Mammalia; Primates; Hominidae. The record is from RNAcentral.
UCUUAUCUACUGAGACAAGAAGGGCUGGGCUGUUCGUUCAUGAAGUCUCCUGGGCAUCUCUUAUCAUGUGAUCCCCAGCCUCUGCGUCCUCCUCCUCCUCACAGGCUCCAGGAUCUCUGGAAUCCAACUCACUGGACGCCCAGCCAGUCAGGCAGGCAGGGAGUGUGGAGGCCUCCCCUCAAGUAAGGACCUAAUGGCUAAAGCUGGGCAUGGGACAGGCCUGUGCAAAGAGAGGAGAGGGAGGAAGGACCAGGGUGUGCUGGAAGCGUAUCCUCCCUCUCCCCGGCCUCUCUCCUCCCACCUCAGAUGGGCCUGGAGGAGAUUAGCUUCACUCACGGCAGUAAUUGUUUGCUGAGUGCUUGCUGUGUUUUAAGCUCAGCAUUUACAAGCAGGUGACAUGGAGAACUCUAGGUGCUGGACAUGCUGUUAGCCCCAUUUCAUGGACGAGGGAAUGGGCGAACAGAGAGGGAAGUCACUGUCCUGGGGACCCACAAUAGGAGGCAGGAUGCCCACCCAGGCUGGCUGUCCCCACGCCAAGAUCUAGGAUGAGUCCUCAGUCAAAGCCAGAGCAGACCCAACGGAACCGCUCAGCCCCCUGACAAGGCAAUGAGUCUCGCCGGCCAGGGGGGCUCUGCCCCCGCCCCCACCCAGGUGGGUCCCCUGCCCCCAGGCUGGCAAGGUGCUGGGGGGCUGAUGCCGGAGCCCCUGCUGCUUGCCGCCUGCCUGCUCAUCUUGUUUGUUCCAAUUAUGUCAAGAAAGGAGAGCGGAUUCUGAUGGAGGCAAGUGGUCUCUGCCCACAGCCUGCUUCUCUCACCCAGCCCAGGAAAGCCAUCAUCUCCUCCUGGGUUUGCAGUCUGGCUCUUUCAUCGUUAUACUGGCCAGUGAUGUUCCAGCAGGUGGCUGGGUCCUGCUGUGAGGACAACAUGGAGCAGAGCCCAGGCUUACCUACAAUGGACAUGCAGUGUGAGUGACAAGAAACCUCUGUGUGCUGAGCUGUUGAAAUCGCCAGGUUGUUUGUUACCACAGUAUAACCUGGCCUAUCCUGACCAUUGCAGGCUCCCUUGCCUACACUUGGUAAGGGAUUGCCUCCAAGAACCACAUCAGCGUGGACCAUGAGCGUAGGCAGAUGAGGUGCAUGCGAACUGCUUAGCCAGCAGCUGCCACAGUGGAAGGUCUAUGUCAUUGCUGCUGCUGCAUGCUCGUUGUGGCUGUGAUUGUCAUCAGCAAAGACCAGCAACAACAAAAGGCCACAGAAGCCCUUACCAUACAUUCUAGAAGGCUUAAGUCUACUCUGGUCAUUUCAACCUUGGGCAGAGAAGGUGGCCUCUUGGAACCUCUCUGAGAUUUCAUUCUCUCACCAGGUGGGUGAGAGGACAGCAAAGAGCCAUGUUACGAAAUUCAAUGAAAGGCUCAUUUCCUACCCCUGGGGAAAGCAGCAAAGCCAGGCUGACACCAAGGAGUUCUAAACAGAGGAGGGCCUGACUUGCUGGCCGGGUGGGCAGAGGAAGACAGGGAGCCCAGUGAUAACGCCUGGCUGGAGGUGGAGCCACGGUUGCCAGGGUACUUGUGCUGUGUAAGGAAUCCCUCAAAACAUUAGGGCGCCCAGCAGCCAUCGUAUUACGCUCACAGAUCCUAUGGCUCAGAAUCACACAAGGCACAGCACAGAUGUCUUGUCUCUAUUCCAGGAUGCCAGGGCCUUCUGGAAGUGCCUGUUUGGCAGUUGGAGCUGGCUGGGGGCUGGGACGUAUCUGGACUGUCUGCCACAACACCAACCCACAGCCCCCUUUCGGGCUACUUGGACUUCCUCACAACAUGGCGGCCCUGGGCAGUCAGAUGCUUACACAGCAUCUCAGGGCUAUAGCACGAAGGCACCUGCAUCACCUUCUGUGACCUAGCCUUGGAGGCCACGCAGCGUCUCUUCUGCCACAUUCUAUUAGUUGUGAGUGAGUCAUGAACGUGCUCAGAUUCAGGAGGGAGAGAACAUAAACCCCACUCUCCAGCAGUGGGAGGUAAAGGUCAUAUGGGAAGAAUAUCUUGUGGGAUGGGAGAAAUUGCAGAGGCUGUCUCUGGAAAAUGCCAUCUGUUACAAGGGACUUAGACCACCCCCGUCCCACCUCUCCUCCAGGCCUGGGUCCUUCCCAUGGCCACCUGCUGACCACUGGGGACUUCUGUGUCAUCCCUCCAGCUCUGAAGAUUCCUCUCAGUGAACUUCUUAGCUAAGCCUGCCAGCCCACAGCCUUCUCUCGUGUCCUGCCUGGCGAGGGGUCUGGCUGGUGUUGAAGGCAGCCCCAGGGCCUCACCUCACACUGCACAAUGACCCACGGUGCCCUGGACAAGAGGCUGCCCUUGGCAUUCCAGGCAAAAAGUCGCUUCCCUGAAAUGUUCUCCAGUGGGAAGCUAAGAGCGUGCCUGCCUCCCAUCCUGACCUCCUGCCCCUUCAGAAGCGUCCCUGCAGCUCCUGCCUGCACCUGGCAGGGAGCACCGCUACAGAGUUUGCUGCUGUACCGGCUCAGAAACGGGAGUUCCCGGCACAGGGCCAUCGGCGAGCCUCCCAGCUGGAGUGUGGGCAGAGGCAGACACUGGGGCUGCAGGGGAGUGGCCCCCAGGGUGUGAAUAGGAGGGCAUCCUGCAGGCUCCAGACAUUGCCAUGCGUGUUGCUGUGAUUAACCCCCAAACCCAGCUCCAUCAUUCAUUCACUCCUUCAUUUGUUCAUCCUAUUGUCCCAGGAGCUGGGCUAUAACAGAAAGGAGACAGGCCACAGACAGACAGGCAAGGCCAUCCCAGGCAGUGAGAGGCGACGUGAACUCUGUGAACUGAGAUGAUGAGGAAGAGAGGAGAAGGGCGGGGCCGCUUUAGAAAGGCUGCUGGGGAUGUCCUGUUUGAGGAGGUGACCCUGUCACUGGAGCCAAGCCAAGAGCUGGGGAAGAGCAUGUCAGGCCCCAAGAACUGCAGGUGCAAAGGCCCUGAGGCAGGACCCUAGCAGGACCCUAGCAGGUGCAGGUGCAGGUGCAAAGGUCCUAAGGCAGGACCUGAGCAGGUGCAGGUGCAAAGGCCCUGAGGCAGGACCUGAGCAGAUGCAGGUGCAAAGGCCCUGAGGCGGGACCUGAGCAGGUACGGGUGCAAAGGCCCUGAGGCAGGACCCGAGCAGGCAUGUCUGAGGGUCAUAGGAAGCCUGUGUGCCUGGAGCAGAGGGUACAAGCCCAACGUGGAGCUUGUGCAUGGCUCUCCACUGCCUCCCAACUCAGUCCAGGGGCUUCUGCUCGGCUUUCAAUGCCCUCCACUGUGGGGGCCCUGCCACACCUCCCCAUUCUCUGGGGGCCCCAGGAUUUCCCACAUCCUUGUUUUUUCCCAUAUUGCAUUAGGAUUUGACUUUAUUAUUUAAACAAGAAGCAGAGGCCCCCACUCCUUAGGGCGGAAACGUUGCUCAGAAUCACAUCCUGGAGGAUGGAGUGAAAGGGAUGUUGGUCUUAGAAGCCCUAAGAGAAGACGGCACAGAGUGGCUGGACUGGGGGUGGGGGUGGAAGAGACUGAGGAAGGCCAGGUGGACAAGGCGGGGUGGGGCCCACAGUCCUCAUUGCCACAGGGCUUUGCCAUCUUGCCAAGGAGCCAACUUGCCCUGAUUCCACGGAGCAGGCCACUGGGACUUCCCACUUCUGUGGGGGCGCUGCGACUGCCUCCAAGAUCCUCCCCAAAUCUCUCUGGGCCUCAGUGAGGUGCCUGGGGAAUGGAUUUAAGAUUGGUGGCCCAGUUUCCGGACAGCUGGGAGAUGAGCUCAGCCUUACUAAUGUGAUCGAAGUUGCCAACCCCUGCCCCGCACAUCCUCAGGGGACCCUAGGCUGCUGGCCACCAGCAAGGUUGUCUUGUCUGUUUGAUCUUCGAUUCCUGAGGGUAGUGGGCACCUCGGUAGGUGAUCCUGCCCAAAUCCCGCCUCCGCUUGUCCUCUUGGCAGGGCGGCCUCCCUCCCGCAUACCACAGCCUUCCUGCAAUGCUGCGACUCGGGUUCAUUCCAGGGGAUCCUUGAGCGCUGGCGGCACAGAGGGGCCAACCUUGAACUCAGCAAAGAGGAAUGCUUGACUCCUCUCCAGCUGGAAGGCUGUACCUGGGCUAAGAACUGAUGAGCCUGCUUGAAGGAAACACUCCGUGCUUUUGUUAAAGGGGAAGGGAAAAUAAAAUCCCAAAUCAACCUUGGAUCAAUGUCUCUUCCCCAGACGGCAGCCCAAGGCCUCUGCGGCCUCUGCAUCAGUCAGCUGGGAAAGCGGCACAGCCCCUGGGACUGUGGCUGGGCCAGCCAGCCUCCACCCAGACAGAGCCCGCAGCAGGCCGUUGAUUCACCGUUCCCCAGCAAAAGCGUCAUCCUGAGUCCCAUGGAAGAGACUGGUUAAUCUCUUACUGUGUAAUUAAUCUCUUACUGUGUACCAGGCACAUGCAUACAUCCCAUAACGCAUUCAGCCUCACACCAUCUACUUUACAAAGCACAUAGCACUACUGUCUUCAUCUGGCAGUUAGCAAACCUGUGGCCCAGAGGGGUGGACCAAUUUACUCAUAGCCACAUAGCUGUCAGGAGCUGAGAUACAAGCCCAGGCGUGGUGGAUCCAAAGCCUCUUGUCCUGGCUGGGCAUAAUGGCUCACACCUGUAAUCUCAGCACUUUGAGAGCCUGAGGCAGGAGGAUUGCUUAAGGCCUGGAAUGUAAUAUCAGCCUGGGCAACAUAGCAAGACCCUGUCUUUAUAGAAAAAAUUUUAAAAAUUGGCCAGGCAUGGUGGUGUGCCUGUGGGCCUGGCUACUUGAGAGGCCGAGGCGGGAGGACUGCUGGAGUCCAGGAGUCUGAGGCUGCAGGGAGCUGUGACUGCGCCAGUGCACUCCAGCCAGGGUGAAAGAGUGAUGCCCUAUCUCAAGAAAAAAAAAAAAAGCUCUUGUCCCAAACCCUAUAUCACCAGGUCCGUAGAAGCAGGAGUGUAUUGAAUCCAUUAGGGAGGCACUUGGCUACAAGUAACAAAAACCUUGGCUCACAGUGGCUUAAAGCAUAAGGUCAUUCAUUGUUUAUUUCGGAGGACAUUGAGAAGCAGGCAUAGCCCAGGUGGGUUCACUAGUUCCUCAGUGUCAGGAUACAGGGCUGGCAUCUCUGCAAUUCUCUUAGCCUUCUCCUCAUGGUGGCACCAUGGCUGCCACAGCUGCAGACAUCACUUCAUCCCACAAUGACAUCCAAAGGCAGGAAGGAAGGUGAGGUGGGAAGGAGGCAAAAGGGACCAAACCUCUCUUCCUGUAACCUUCUCAUUUUCUAGUGAGACCUUUUUCCCAGGAGCCGCCAGCAUACUUCCCUCACGUUUCUGGCCAGAAGUGGAUCACAGGCCUUCCCCGGAUUACUCAGGCCCAGAGGGUGCAAUGUGGUCCCCACUACAUGGUAGACAGGAUUUGAACUAAACAACAGUUCGCUGGAGUGGAAAAUAAAGGAUGCUACAUUUUCUUAUUGUGAUAAAAAAUAUAUAUCAUAAAAUUUACCAUUUUAACAAUUUGUAAGUAUACAGGUUGGUAGCAUUAAGGACAGUCACAUUGUUGUGCAACCACUACCAUCCAUUUCCAGAAUUUUUUCAUCUUCCCAAACUGAAACUCUGUCUCCAUUAAACACCAACUCUCCACCUGGCUCCUGCCAGCCCCUGGCUCCCACCAUUCUACUUUCUGUAUCUGUGGAUUUGACUAUUCUAAGGUUGGACUAGUCCAACCUGUACAUAAAUUGAAUCAUACAGUAUUUGUCCCUUUGUGGCUGGCUUAUUUCACUCAGCACAGUGUCCUCAAGGCUCAUCCAUGUUGUGGCCCGUGUCAGAAUAUCCUUCCUUUUUCAAGGCU